UGGUGGAGUGAUUUGUCUGCUUAAUAUCGAUAACGAACGAGACCUUAACCUGCUAAAUAGUUACGUGAACCUUUGCGUUCGUGGACAACUUCUUAGAGGGACUUUUGCGUGUUUAAGCCAAAGGAAGUUUGAGGCAAUAACA
RNAcentral lists this ribosomal RNA (142 nucleotides) under uncultured eukaryote. RNAcentral describes it as "partial 18S ribosomal RNA". It matches the Rfam family "Eukaryotic small subunit ribosomal RNA", at positions 1299 to 1458 of the family's 1831-position model. The record is from RNAcentral.